GCAGCAGCCGCGGUAAUACGUAGGGUGCAAGCGUUAAUCGGAAUUACUGGGCGUAAAGCGUGCGCAGGCGGUUUGUUAAGACAGAUGUGAAAUCCCCGGGCUCAACCUGGGAACUGCAUUUGUGACUGGCAAGCUAGAGUAUGGCAGAGGGGGGUGGAAUUCCGCGUGUAGCAGUGAAAUGCGUAGAUAUGCGGAGGAACACCGAUGGCGAAGGCAGCCCCCUGGGCCAAUACUGACGCUCAUGCACGAAAGCGUGGGGAGCAAACAGGAUUAGAUACCCCCGUAGUCCCUGUCUCUUAUAC
Molecule: ribosomal RNA, 302 nt
Filed under: uncultured bacterium
Lineage: Bacteria
Description: partial 16S ribosomal RNA
Rfam family: Bacterial small subunit ribosomal RNA
Source: RNAcentral